This is a long non-coding RNA of Daktulosphaira vitifoliae (grape phylloxera), 286 nucleotides long. RefSeq lists it as uncharacterized. The record is from RefSeq and is a predicted model, not a curated record. Lineage: Eukaryota; Metazoa; Arthropoda; Insecta; Hemiptera; Phylloxeridae. The transcript has 3 exons.
UCCAAUGAUAUUUAUUUGAAAAGCUAAUACGAGUAAAAAAAAAUUGAUAAUGUUAAGUCGUAGAGUAAUGAGCAAAUACAUUUUCUUUCAACAAUAAAAAGCAUACUGUUGAGUGUAAAUACGAUAAUUACAUGCAAAAUGCUUACAUUUAAUUUAGGUAGGCGAUAUCCAGGCAAAUUAACGCUUGGGACAAGAAAAUCACUUGGAUUUAAAACAAUAUAUUAAUACUUGUGAACUUUUUAUGAAAAUAUUUUAAGUAUAUUAACCAAACAAUGACAAUUUUUCU